RNAcentral lists this ribosomal RNA (521 nucleotides) under uncultured Pseudomonas sp. Its description in RNAcentral is "bacterial SSU rRNA". It matches the Rfam family "Bacterial small subunit ribosomal RNA", at positions 8 to 524 of the family's 1533-position model. The record is from RNAcentral. Lineage: Bacteria; Pseudomonadati; Pseudomonadota; Gammaproteobacteria; Pseudomonadales; Pseudomonadaceae.
AGAGUUUGAUCCUGGCUCAGAUUGAACGCUGGCGGCAGGCCUAACACAUGCAAGUCGAGCGGUAGAGAGAAGCUUGCUUCUCUUGAGAGCGGCGGACGGGUGAGUAAUGCCUAGGAAUCUGCCUGGUAGUGGGGGAUAACGUUCGGAAACGGACGCUAAUACCGCAUACGUCCUACGGGAGAAAGCAGGGGACCUUCGGGCCUUGCGCUAUCAGAUGAGCCUAGGUCGGAUUAGCUAGUUGGUGGGGUAAUGGCUCACCAAGGCGACGAUCCGUAACUGGUCUGAGAGGAUGAUCAGUCACACUGGAACUGAGACACGGUCCAGACUCCUACGGGAGGCAGCAGUGGGGAAUAUUGGACAAUGGGCGAAAGCCUGAUCCAGCCAUGCCGCGUGUGUGAAGAAGGUCUUCGGAUUGUAAAGCACUUUAAGUUGGGAGGAAGGGCAGUAAAUUAAUACUUUGCUGUUUUGACGUUACCGACAGAAUAAGCACCGGCUAACUCUGUGCCAGCAGCCGCGGUAAU